AGCGAACGCUGGCGGCAGGCUUAACACAUGCAAGUCGAGCGGGCAUCCUUGUGGUGUCAGCGGCAGACGGGUGAGUAACGCGUGGGAACGUGCCCUUCGGUUCGGAAUAACUCAGGGAAACUUGAGCUAAUACCGGAUACGUGCGAGAGCAGAAAGGUUUAUCUGCCGAAGGAUCGGCCCGCGUCUGAUUAGCUAGUUGGUGAGGUUAUGGCUCACCAAGGCGACGAUCAGUAGCUGGUCUGAGAGGAUGAUCAGCCACACUGGGACUGAGACACGGCCCAGACUCCUACGGGAGGCAGCAGUGGGGAAUAGUGGACAAUGGGGGCAACCCUGAUCCAGCCAUGCCGCGUGAGUGAUGACGGCCUUAGGGUUGUAAAGCUCUUUUCUUCGGGACGAUAAUGACGGUACCGGAGGAAUAAGCCCCGGCUAACUUCGUG
RNAcentral lists this ribosomal RNA (437 nucleotides) under uncultured bacterium. RNAcentral describes it as "partial 16S ribosomal RNA". It matches the Rfam family "Bacterial small subunit ribosomal RNA", at positions 29 to 507 of the family's 1533-position model. The record is from RNAcentral.